Molecule: ribosomal RNA, 465 nt
Filed under: uncultured bacterium
Lineage: Bacteria
Description: partial 16S ribosomal RNA
Rfam family: Bacterial small subunit ribosomal RNA
Source: RNAcentral
GACGAACGCUGGCGGCGUGCUUAACACAUGCAAGUCGAACGGAAAGGCCCCUUUGGGGGUACUCGAGUGGCGAACGGGUGCGUAACACGUGAGUAACCUGCCCUUGACUUCGGGAUAACUUCAGGAAACUGGGGCUAAUACCGGAUAGGAAUCCUUGCUGCAUGGUGGGGGUUGGAAAGCUUCGGCGGUUUUGGAUGGACUCGCGGCUUAUCAGCUUGUUGGUGGGGUAGUGGCUUACCAAGGCUUUGACGGGUAGCCGGCCUGAGAGGGCGACCGGCCACAUUGGGACUGAGAUACGGCCCAGACUCCUACGGGAGGCAGCAGUGGGGAAUAUUGCACAAUGGGCGGAAGCCUGAUGCAGCAACGCCGCGUGCGGGAUGACGGCCUUCGGGUUGUAAACCGCUUUCAGCAGGGGCGAAGCUUGUGGUGACGGUACCUGCAAAAGAAGCACCGGCUAACUACGUG